Molecule: long non-coding RNA, 791 nt
Filed under: Danio rerio (zebrafish)
Lineage: Eukaryota; Metazoa; Chordata; Actinopteri; Cypriniformes; Danionidae
Description: si:ch211-246b8.10 (ENSDARG00000105246.2)
Source: RNAcentral
GUGACGGCUACGGCGAAGGGCUAUGCGUCAGCGCCAUAGCAUACGCCGGCGUUUGACGCAGAAGUAUAAAUCAGCCUUAAGUCAAGAACCAAAUGAAGCACCAGAGUACAGAUUAUGGAGGUAUCUGAAGUUGAACUAACUGGAAGCAGGGAACCAUACUAAUAAAGUUCCUUAAGCAGGUUCCUUGUAAAGAUUAACCCAGGGAAGGAUCGAAAGUGGAGAAGACCAGAUCAAGAAAGACUACAUCAAGAUAUGCGGUCAGUUCAAAGGAUGUUUUGCAUUGGACUGUUUUUUUUGGCUUUGACCCUUGCUUGCCCCUGACCUCACUCUUGGACUGCCCUGUUGGAUUUUCAGUUUAUUUAAUUAAAAAAAAAAUUUUUGGAUUUUUAAAUAUUUAAUUGUAAUUAUUUAAUGUAAAUCAAAGGCGGCAACACCAAGGCUCCAAAAAUACAAAUUUAUUAAAUUAAAAAGGCUGACACAGAGCGUAAAAUGUUUCGAGCCGCCGGCUCUUCAUCAGACAAAUAAUUUUUCGUUGUAAUUUUUUAAAUAAUAUGUUUUUGUUAAAUAUGCGAUUUCUGUGUUUGUUCUGUCUACUCGAACUUGUUUAUCUGGUUUCUGUAAUUAUCAUUUGUUUAUUUGACCCUUGCCUCGCCUCUGAUCUUGUUUUUGGAUUGCCCUUCAUAUAUCUUUUUAAUUAUUGGUUCUAGUUAUAUGGUUAUAAAAUAUUUGUUAAUUUAAUUAAUAUGCAUUAUAUUAAAAAAUACAUAUAAAUAUAUUUUCUGUGUUUUUUU